UUAAGUUCAGCGGGUGGUCCUACCUGAUUUGAGGUCAAGUUUAUCAAAUCCAACUCUUAUAGCAGCAGCAAACCCUCACCAGAUGCAGAUAUGUAUCACAUCUUAAUGGAGAGGUCGUUACCACUCAUGUAUUUCAGGGGAGCAGACCAAGCCUGUAACCCCCAAAUCCAAGCCACACCUCACGGUGUGGUUGAGACAUU
RNAcentral lists this unclassified non-coding RNA (200 nucleotides) under Inocybe sp. RNAcentral's name for it is "partial internal transcribed spacer 2". The record is from RNAcentral. Lineage: Eukaryota; Fungi; Basidiomycota; Agaricomycetes; Agaricales; Inocybaceae.